GACAAGGAGACAACAGGCCGCCCCUUGGAGCUCCAGCGCGGCCAGCUUGAAUCCAGCUGGGAAAAGGUACCACUAGGCGACCCCCAAUUAUCUGCCCUCGUACUCUUUAGAAGCUUUUCUGGACACACAGGUACAAGCCAGGCUCUGGGCCAGGCCACAGCGAUGUAGGAGACGGGGAGCCUGCAGUCCACCAGGGACAGAGACAUGAAGGACCAACCACAAUUCAGGGAUGUUACUGUCACAGAGAAAGAAGCACAUUGAACUGUGACCCAGAGAGUGCAGGCAAGACGUGGAGGGUUAUGAGUCUGCAUCCCAGUGAGAGAGCGACCAAGAACCCUUCCGUGUGCACCAGCUCACCGCUUAGAAAAUAGCAGUGUAUCCACGGUUUCCUAAAAAGUCACGAGCAAUCCUGGGAGGGACAUACACUUUUCCUCAUUCAGCCCAAGGAAAGACUCAGAGGCUCCGAGCGCCGGGGUUGAAGCGCAGAGCUCCUGCCUCCGAGGCCGGCAACUCCUGCACCCUCGGCCCACGAUAGGAUUGCACUUCCCUGUCGGUGGACAUCACAUCCUGACCAUUUGGAACUUCGGUGAAGAGUCUCCAGGACCUGCACUUGUAGGUGUAAGUGUGGGCCAUGGACCAGCACAACCCGCAGAUGGGGAUGCCGUCUGUGAAGAGUCCCACAGACUACCCAGGUUUACUUACAAAGAAGGGGCUUGUUCACAAAUAAUCUCAACCUCAACACAUUUUGGAAGAGACUGCCAUGAAGGUUAAUGGCUGGUGACAAAACAUGGAACAGACCUGCUCUUCAGUUCAUCUGGACAGCCUGCAGUAGAGCGUGAUGUCACUGGCUUGCACUGCCCUAUGGAGCUUUCUGAUCAAUGACACAUCAGAAGUUCACACUAGAAGCAGCGUCUCCUGCCUAUUACUGCACUGCUUCCAGAAAGACCAUGCCUGCUUCCCUUGGCAAAGGGGAAAGGUGAUUUUCGGAAUAAAUGUUAACUUAGGCAGGGAUUAUUGAAGAUUAUCCACUCAUGUUAAAGACUAAGAUUUCCAAAAUGUGGAAUUCGUUGACUAGGUGACUGGUGCGCUGGUGUACUGAAUUUUGGUUUUCGUUUUUAAAUAAAAUGCCGCCUUUUAUUAAGAGACAAAGAAAACAAGCCAAUCAUCAACUCAGUGAAAAACUACUUUGCAACCAAGUGGCUCCUCAUUCACGGCUGCAGGAAAAAAGAAGCUGGAGCCAGGGGAGGUGGGCCUCUUCGGGCCCUCUGAGGAUUCAGGGUCACAUUUGGGCUUCCCCGUUGCUGGAUUCACUGCAGGCAGAAUGAUAUGCACCUAACAAUGUAGAUCACUCUUUCCCUCUACGGAAAAGAUUUUAACGUUAGUUCACUCAUUUGUAAACUCUUUUUUUAAAUUUCUGGACCUGAUGAUUUCUCUGCUGGUUCCACGGCUCAGAUCUAGAAGGAUGCCGUGGUUGGGGGAUGCACUCAGGGCCCCUCGGGAACCCUGGCCAAAAUAAAUGUUGUGAAUUCAGGUCUGUGUAUUCUUCUAGAGCUGUGCCUUAGGGGCUGCUGUGCUUGACCAUGGACUCCAGGCCUGGCUGCCCACGGCUCUGCCCUGAGACCACCUUCAGUCCUCACAAUCCAGGCUCACCAGCUCAGGCCUCAGGUAAUCAGGAGGAACUCCUGCCUGAGAGGAACAGGUCUCUGGCUCUCCGCAUUGUUGAAACAGCCACAUUUUCCAAACUUGGGGGCAUGUGUUCCAAGUGCCUUCUUGGUGGGUUUUAUUUCUUAAUUCCCUUGUCCCAAGUGCAGCUAAUUUCAUAAUUGCAGGCUGUAGAGUUGUUUUUCACAGUGUGUUGAAUUUCAGUUAGUUUCAAAGAGCUUCCCACAUCUGGGCAGGAUAGGUCGAGCCUUCAUACAAGAACCUGUCUCUGAAUUGGCGUGUUUGCCCGUGCACCCUGGGGCAAGCAAGAGGCUCGGGAGGCCCUGGUGUACAGAGGCCCACAGUUCGCCUGGAAGCUGGCUCCUCAGCUCUCCCCGGUGGCCAACCCCGUGCAAGACUCAAGCAAACAGCCUCAAGGCAAUGGAUUCCCACCUCCCCAAGUCAAGCUCUCCCCACAUCUCACGGACUCACGGGGAGCACGUGUCCUCUCAUGGCCGGAUCCUUCAGUUUUUCCUACUGCAACUGGCAUAUCCUUCCACUUAUUUCUGCUCAGGGGAGCUCCAGACUAGCCCCCUUUGCCACACAAGAGCCUUUCAGAGAUUUAAAACGGUUUUUAUAAUUGUUCUUCCCCAGGCGAAAGAGUUUCGACUGGUUUAUAAUCUCUUUUUAGCAAUCCCAUUUCCCUCUCCUUUCAAUCCCCCUCCUGCCCUACACAAUAGAAUACAAAUAAAAAUUGCCGUUUGACUUUA
This is a long non-coding RNA of Callorhinus ursinus (northern fur seal), 2411 nucleotides long. RefSeq lists it as uncharacterized. Lineage: Eukaryota; Metazoa; Chordata; Mammalia; Carnivora; Otariidae. The record is from RefSeq and is a predicted model, not a curated record.